GACGAACGCUGGCGGCGUGCCUAAUACAUGCAAGUAGAACGCUGAAGAGAGGAGCUUGCUCUUCUUGGCUGAGUUGCGAACGUGUGAGUAACGCGUAGGUAACCUGCCUUGUAGCGGGGGAUAACUAUUGGAAACGAUAGCUAAUACCGCAUAACAAUGGAUGACACAUGUCCUUUAUUUGAAAGGGGCAAUUGCUCCACUACAAGAUGGACCUGCGUUGUAUUAGCUAGUAGGUGAGGUAAUGGCUCACCUAGGCGACGAUACAUAGCCGACCUGAGAGGGUGAUCGGCCACACUGGGACUGAGACACGGCCCAGACUCCUACGGGAGGCAGCAGUAGGGAAUCUUCGGCAAUAGGGGCAACCCUGACCGAGCAACGCCGCGUGAGUGAAGAAGGUUUUCGGAUCGUAAAGCUCUGUUGUAAGUCAAGAACGGGUGUGAGAGUGGAAAGUUCACACUGUGACGGUAGCUUACCAGAAAGGGACGGCUAACUACGUG
RNAcentral lists this ribosomal RNA (497 nucleotides) under uncultured bacterium. RNAcentral's name for it is "partial 16S ribosomal RNA". It matches the Rfam family "Bacterial small subunit ribosomal RNA", at positions 28 to 507 of the family's 1533-position model. The record is from RNAcentral.